Molecule: ribosomal RNA, 481 nt
Filed under: uncultured bacterium
Lineage: Bacteria
Description: partial 16S ribosomal RNA
Rfam family: Bacterial small subunit ribosomal RNA
Source: RNAcentral
GACGAACGCUGGCGGCGUGCUUAACACAUGCAAGUCGAACGGGAUCCGGGCUUUCGGGUUUGGUGAGAGUGGCGAACGGGUGAGUAACACGUGAGUAACCUGCCCCCUUCUUUGGGAUAACGUCGGGAAAUCGGCGCUAAUACUGGAUAUUCUUGCUGCAUCGCAUGGUGUGGUUUGGAAAGGGUUUCUGGUGGGGGAUAGGCUCGCGGCCUAUCAGCUUGUUGGUGGGGUGAUGGCCUACCAAGGCUUUGACGGGUAGCCGGCCUGAGAGGGUGUCCGGCCACACUGGGACUGAGACACGGCCCAGACUCCUACGGGAGGCAGCAGUGGGGAAUAUUGCACAAUGGGCGCAAGCCUGAUGCAGCGACGCCGCGUGAGGGAUGACGGCCUUCGGGUUGUAAACCUCUUUCAGUAUGGAACAAGGAUCCUUCUUUUGGGGGGUUUGAGGGUACGUGCAGAAGAAGCGCCGGCUAACUACGUG